RNAcentral lists this transfer RNA (77 nucleotides) under Muribaculaceae bacterium. Its description in RNAcentral is "tRNA-Ile". It matches the Rfam family "tRNA". Rfam says of the family: Transfer RNA (tRNA) molecules are approximately 80 nucleotides in length. Their secondary structure includes four short double-helical elements and three loops (D, anti-codon, and T loops). Lineage: Bacteria; Pseudomonadati; Bacteroidota; Bacteroidia; Bacteroidales; Muribaculaceae. The record is from RNAcentral. RNAcentral also lists the same sequence under 2 other names.
GGUCCUAUAGCUCAGUUGGUCAGAGCACCUGACUCAUAAUCAGGGAGUCCUUGGUUCAAGCCCAAGUGGGACCACCA